CCUACGGGUGGCAGCAGUCGAGAAUCUUUCACAAUGGGGGAAACCCUGAUGCUGCGACGCCGCGUGGGGGAAUGAAGGUCUUCGGAUUGUAAACCCCUGUCAUGUGGGAGCAAAUUAAAAAGAUCGUACCACAAGAGGAAGAGACGGCUAACUCUGUGCCAGCAGCCGCGGUACUACAGAGGUCUCAAGCGUUGUUCGGAAUCACUGGGCGUAAAGCGUGCGUAGGAUGGUUCGUAAGUCGUGUGUGAAAGGCGCGGGCUCAACCCACGGACGGCACAUGAUACUGCGAGACUAGAGUAAUGGAGAGGGAACCGGAAUGCUCGGUGUAGCAGUGAAAUGCGUAGAUAUCGAGAGGAACACUCGUGGCGAAGGCGGGUUCCUGGACAUUAACUGACGCUGAGGCACGAAGGCCAGGGGAGCGAAAGGGAUUAGAUACCCCAGUAGUC
Molecule: ribosomal RNA, 446 nt
Filed under: uncultured bacterium
Lineage: Bacteria
Description: partial 16S ribosomal RNA
Rfam family: Bacterial small subunit ribosomal RNA
Source: RNAcentral